UGCGAUAAACACUGAACCUCUGCAUGUUUGUAUGGAUUGACCUACAUUCUAAUUAAAAUGGCAACUUGAAGGCCGGUUAUCUUGUUGUGCGUAAUAGCGUGCUCAAAAAGUAUAAACCAUUGAAAUUGUAUCACGUGUUUUCAGUUUCGGAGCGGAUACUUCGCAGGGUUCAUCGAUAUAAGACAAUUCACAGCUAUGCGUGUUCUGGUGCUUUUAUUGUUAUCGGCAUAUCUUGUUUUGGGUGUUUCAGGUGGAAAAAAGGGUGCCUCUUGGAAAAACACUCUUUACUUUGACUCAGAUAUAUAUAACACCUCAGUUGAAAUAUAUAACAUUCGAGCAGACGAAUUAAUCAUUAAGCUUAUACCGCUCGUCGGUGCAGAUGAACAAAUUCGAGGUGUGACGGCCGUUAAAAAGAGUUUGUUUUGGUGGCAGAUAACAUAUUUUUAUUUGUAUCACAUGUUUGUCGUUUUUGAAACAGACAAAUGGUGGUGGUCAAUUGAAAAAUCAUCUGAUGGUAUAACUCUUCAGCGCAGCAAAUAUCCAGCAGCUGUAUACUAUUUAUUGAGAAAAGAAAUACGCCCACUUCGUCAUACGAUGAAAACCAUGAAAAGUGAUUACGGCACAAGCAGCGUUCACGGUCUUAUCGCCUGGCUUUAUCAUAACGACGAGAUAAACACCCGGUAUCAUUACAUUAAGUACAACUGCAAACAUUUUGCCACAGAUGUCUUUAAUCUUUUAUCAAAAACAAAAUGGUUGUAGGAUUUUCAACACUAUUUUGACACAUGAUGAAUAAUUGAUUGACCGUAUUUGCCAUGCGCUUAGAGAAGAAAUAUUGUAUCCAUUAUUGGUGUCCAUAUCCGUAUUUUCCAUGUGCUUAGUGAAGAAAUAUUGUAUCCAUUAUUGGUAUCCAUAUAUAAAUCCAUAUUUGAUCAUUAUCACUCUGAAAAAAGGUAGAAACAUAACGUUAAGGGGUGUUGCUGCAGUUUUGCUUAUUUAUUUUCCAUCUAAUAGAUCUUGUCGAAAAUUUAUAUUUAAGAUAUAUAUACAAAUACCAUAUGAAAAAUGAAAUAAAAACAAAGGGUC
This is a long non-coding RNA of Dreissena polymorpha, 1083 nucleotides long. RefSeq lists it as uncharacterized. The transcript is spliced from 3 exons. The record is from RefSeq and is a predicted model, not a curated record. Lineage: Eukaryota; Metazoa; Mollusca; Bivalvia; Myida; Dreissenidae.